GGGUGCGUGGCUCAACUGGUACAGCAACGGUCUCCAAAACCGUGAUUGUCUGGGGGUUCGAAUCCCUCCGCGCCUGCUA
RNAcentral lists this transfer RNA (79 nucleotides) under Lachnospiraceae bacterium. Its description in RNAcentral is "tRNA-Trp". It matches the Rfam family "tRNA". From Rfam's summary of the family: Transfer RNA (tRNA) molecules are approximately 80 nucleotides in length. Their secondary structure includes four short double-helical elements and three loops (D, anti-codon, and T loops). The record is from RNAcentral. Lineage: Bacteria; Bacillati; Bacillota; Clostridia; Lachnospirales; Lachnospiraceae.